ACAAAGGCUCUUUUCAGAGCCACCUACUUAUUCAUUGAAGAGCUA
Non-coding RNA from Dipodomys ordii (Ord's kangaroo rat), 45 nucleotides. The record is from Rfam. NCBI's taxonomy places the organism in Eukaryota, Metazoa, Chordata, Mammalia, Rodentia, Heteromyidae.